This 343-nucleotide long non-coding RNA is filed under the name Phoenix dactylifera (date palm). Its description in RNAcentral is "long non-coding RNA (PDAC_LNC003308)". The record is from RNAcentral. Lineage: Eukaryota; Viridiplantae; Streptophyta; Magnoliopsida; Arecales; Arecaceae.
UGGUAGGUAGGAACUAUGGAUCAGUAAAGUUUUAGGUAUUUUUUCUUCUAAAUUGCAUUUUAAAAUGAGAAGCUAACUUAAUAAUUUUCUGCUCCGACAUUAACCAUGUUAAAACAUCGGUUGGGGUACAUUGCAAUCAAUUUGUAACUUCCGAAGUCUAAUUGAAAAAAUUAGAACUUUUGGGAUAUAAGUGCAAAUUGCAAAACUUUAAGAAUGUUUCUAUAAUUUGUCUAAAAAAUAAUGCAGUUAACUUUAUCUCAUAAGAAAUAAAAUUGUCUGAUAGUAGUUUCUCCUCUCUGUUUACUUUUCAUUUGUAUAAUUUGUCUCACCAAUCUUCGGAAGG